AGCUGAUCAUAUGGCUGUCAGAGAGAACUGAUCAGUUAUUGAUGUUUGUGUUUGCAGAGGUCAGAGGUCACAGUCUCCAGCAUCCAGCUGUGUGUCUGUGAGGAGUGACUGGUCCAAAGACAGACCUCCACAAUUUCAUAAUGAACCUGCACGGACAAUAGGUCAGAGAUCACAGUCUCCAACAUCCAGCUGUAUAUCUAUGAAGAGUGACUGGUCCAAAGACAGACCUCCACAAUUCAGUAAUGAACCUGGACCAACAACAGGUCAGAGGUCACAGUCUCCAGUAUCAGGCUGUCUGUCUAUGAGGAGUGACUGGUCCAAAGACAGACCUCCACAAUUCAGUAAUGAACCUGGACCAACAACAAGUCAGAAGUUGCAGUCUACAUUAUCCAGCUGUCUAUCUGUGAGCAGUGACUGGUCGAAAGACAGACCUCCACAAUUCAGUCUUGGGCCUGGACCAGCAAUGCUCUUCAAUUAUGGACCUGAACUGGCCUCGAAAUGUUCUAUUUUCUCUCAUCGCAAACUGCAGACAGAUCAGUCGCAGUUUAAUAAGACAAGCAGACAAGAAAAAAGUUCAUGGUGUUAAUGAAAUGAAAGGAAUUAUUUUUUUGAUUCCAGAAUUCCUGAAUUUAAACAGAUAAGUAGCUAGACGUUUACUUUGUUCUGUGACCUUUAACGAUUCUCCAAUGUCAUGAAAUCUGGAUCUUUUUUACCAA
Long non-coding RNA from Haplochromis burtoni (Burton's mouthbrooder), 716 nucleotides. RefSeq lists it as uncharacterized. Lineage: Eukaryota; Metazoa; Chordata; Actinopteri; Cichliformes; Cichlidae. The transcript has 5 exons. The record is from RefSeq and is a predicted model, not a curated record.